AACGAACGCUGGCGGCGUGGAUUAGGCAUGCAAGUCGAACGAUCUCGAGCAAUCGGGAUAGUGGCAAAAGGGUGAUUAACGCGUGGGUAACCUACCUUCGAACUCGGGAUAACUUCGCGAAAGCGAGGCUAAUACCGGAUAAGACCACGAUUCAUAAGGAUUGUGGUAAAAGAUGGCCUCUAUUUAUAAGCUGUCAUUGGAAGGGGGGCCCGCGUCCUAUCAGCUUGUUGGUGAGGUAACGGCUCACCAAGGCAUUUGACGGGUAGCUGGUCUGAGAGGAUGGUCAGCCACACUGGGACUGAGACACUGCCCAGACUCCUACGGGAGGCUGCAGUCGAGAAUCUUUAGCAAUGGGCGAAAGCCUGACUAUGCGACGCCGCGUGAGCGAUGAAGGCCUUCGGAUUGUAAAGCUCUGUCAGGUGGGAUGAAUACUCGUGUUCUAAAUAAGAGCAGAGUUUGACGGUACCGCCAGAGAAGCCACGCUAACU
This 488-nucleotide ribosomal RNA is filed under the name uncultured bacterium. RNAcentral's name for it is "bacterial SSU rRNA". It matches the Rfam family "Bacterial small subunit ribosomal RNA", at positions 29 to 502 of the family's 1533-position model. The record is from RNAcentral.